This 492-nucleotide ribosomal RNA is filed under the name uncultured bacterium. RNAcentral describes it as "partial 16S ribosomal RNA". It matches the Rfam family "Bacterial small subunit ribosomal RNA", at positions 29 to 507 of the family's 1533-position model. The record is from RNAcentral.
AGUGAACGCUGGCGGUAGGCCUAACACAUGCAAGUCGAACGGCAGCACAGUAAGAGCUUGCUAUUACGGGUGGCGAGUGGCGGACGGGUGAGGAAUACAGCGGAAUCUACUUUUUCGUGGGGGAUAACGUAGGGAAACUUACGCUAAUACCGCAUACGACCUACGGGUGAAAGCAGGGUAUCUUCGUACCUUGCGCGAUUGAAUGAGCCGAGUUCGGAUUAGCUAGUUGGCGGGGUAAAGGCCCACCAAGGCGACGAUCCGUAGCUGGUCUGAGAGGAUGAUCGGCCACAUUGGAACGGGGAAACGGCCCAACCCCCUAGGGGGGCAGCAGUAGGGGAUUAUUGGACAAUGGCCGCAGUCUGGACCCGGCCAUACCGGGUAGGUGAAGAAGUCUUUCGGGUGGUAAAGUCUGUUUGUAGGGAAAGAAGAGCGGCAGAGUAAAACGCCGCUGAUCUGACGGUACCCACAGAGUAAGCGACGGCUAACUACGUG